UGGGGAAUAUUGGACAAUGGGCGAAAGCCUGAUCCAGCCAUGCCGCGUGUGUGAAGAAGGUCUUCGGAUUGUAAAGCACUUUAAGUUGGGAGGAAGGGCAGUAAGCGAAUACCUUGCUGUUUUGACGUUACCGACAGAAUAAGCACCGGCUAACUCUGUGCCAGCAGCCGCGGUAAUACAGAGGGUGCAAGCGUUAAUCGGAAUUACUGGGCGUAAAGCGCGCGUAGGUGGUUCGUUAAGUUGAAUGUGAAAGCCCCGGGCUCAACCUGGGAACUGGAUCCAAAGCUGGCGAGCUAGAGGAGGGCAGAGGGUGGUGGAAUUUCCUGUGUAGCGGUGGAAUGCGUAGAUAUAAGAAGGAACGCCAGUAGGGAAGGCGACCACCUGGGCUCAUACUGAAACUGAGGUGCGAAAGCGUAGGGAGCAAACAGG
This 429-nucleotide ribosomal RNA is filed under the name Pseudomonadota bacterium. RNAcentral describes it as "Proteobacteria bacterium partial 16S ribosomal RNA". It matches the Rfam family "Bacterial small subunit ribosomal RNA", at positions 355 to 776 of the family's 1533-position model. Lineage: Bacteria; Pseudomonadati; Pseudomonadota. The record is from RNAcentral.